UUCCGUAGGGGGAACCUGCGGAAGGAUCAUUACCGAGUGUAGGGUUCCUAGCGAGCCCAACCUCCCACCCGUGUUUACUGUAACCUUAGUUGCUUCGGCGGGCCCGCCUUUAAGGCCGCCGGGGGGCAUCAGCCCCCGGGCCCGCGCCCGCCGGAGACACCACGAACUCUGUCUGAUCUAGUGAAGUCUGAGUUGAUUGUAUCGCAAUCAGUUAAAACUUUCAACAAUGGAUCUCUUGGUUCCGGCAUCGAUGAAGAACGCAGCGAAAUGCGAUAACUAGUGUGAAUUGCAGAAUUCCGUGAAUCAUCGAGUCUUUGAACGCACAUUGCGCCCCCUGGUAUUCCGGGGGGCAUGCCUGUCCGAGCGUCAUUGCUGCCCAUCAAGCACGGCUUGUGUGUUGGGUCGUCGUCCCCUCUUCGGGGGGGACGGGCCCCAAAGGCAGCGGCGGCACCGCGUCCGAUCCUCGAGCGUAUGGGGCUUUGUCACCCGCUCUGUAGGCCCGGCCGGCGCUUGCCGAACGCAAAACAACCAUUCUUUCCAGGUUGACCUCGGAUCAGGUAGGGAUACCCGCUGAACUUAAGCAUAUCAAUAAAGCGGAGGAAG
RNAcentral lists this ribosomal RNA (603 nucleotides) under Aspergillus tamarii. RNAcentral's name for it is "eukaryotic LSU rRNA". The stretch from base 216 to 369 matches the Rfam family "5.8S ribosomal RNA". The record is from RNAcentral. Lineage: Eukaryota; Fungi; Ascomycota; Eurotiomycetes; Eurotiales; Aspergillaceae.